CAAUUUAACAUUUUGCUUUCUAAUUAAUAAAGUAGUUUAUACUAACAUCUAAAGACUAACUAUAAGUUAAUACAGAAGUAUUACAAUUAUUUUAAACCUAAAGGCGUACAUUUCGUAGGAACUUCAUGAUGUUUUAUUAGCAGACUAAUCAACGUGUCCCCUAAAUUUUUAUUUUUAAGGAAAAAAAAGGAUACAAACCGCACGACCAAGUUUCUGUACAAGACGCCAAAAGCUAAUCUCCCUUUCAAAGGAAUUUCUUCGGACCCAAUUAAGAUUGUGUCAUCAUGACUCAGGUAUCUCUUCAGCACAUUUCUUAAUCAUAAAUACACUUACCUAAAUUACGAAAUGAGAUCACAAAAUAACUAAGUAUCGUUGAUCCGUUAUAUCACCUAAAUGGGAGUGACUGUAAAGAAAAAUAAAGCAAGAAAAGAAGGGAGAACAAAUAUAGAAUUAAGCAGAGAUUCUCUAGGAACUUAAUUCAUAGUAUACCUUUUUCUAGUAAUUUCAUAAUUCUUACUUAUCCAUCCAUUUUUUAUUUUUAAAAAAAGAAAUAACAACGUUUAAAAAUUAUAGUAUUAAACAUGAUAGGUAGCUUUUGCUACCACACACAAUAUGCAUUAACCUCACCUCCAAUGGUAUCUAAGGUAGCUUUUGUUAUCUUCCAGGAUACACUAGGGAGGCUAGUAGUAGCACAACUCCCUCAACUCAGUUGUAAAAUGCUCUGCUGGUCUUAAAGAAAAAGUUUUACAUAUUAGUUUUGUUUGGUAAUUAACAAAAAAAAAACUCAAACUUGGUAAGAGUUAGGCGGGUUUCGGUAAGAGUUAGGCGGGUUUCGCCAUGACCCACUAUUUAGGUAGAAAUGACGUGGGAUAGCCACUUUUUAAUAUAGUAUUUAGUUUUUAUCCAGUAUUUUUAAUGCUGAGCAAAAUUAGCUACUACUCUAUUAAAACUAAUACGAAAAGACGUUUUUACCCUUUCUUUAUGAGUGCUGUGUAAAUAUAAAGGACAUGGUGUCCUUAACAUUUACACUACAUAUAUGAAGUUAAGGACGUCAUGUCCUUAACAUUCACACUGUACAUAUGAAGUCAAGGACAUGAUGCCCUAAAGUUUAAUAACGGAAGGUGCAAAUACAAGACAAUUUGUUCUUAAUAUUUACAUAACAUUCAUGAAGUUAAGGACAUCAUGUCCUUAAUAUUUAUACAACACCCAUGUCUAGCACAGGGGUAUUUUCGUCCGGGUGGGUAAUAAUUUAUUAAGCACUGGUUAAAGAGUAAAUACAUUUUAAACAGUGGUUAAAGAGUAAAGACAUCUCUAAUUAGUGGCUAACCGUACACUUCCCCCACUAUUUAGCCCACUUAACUCAGCCCAAGUAAUCUGUAGAUGGGUUUCACCAAACUCGGCCCAACAACUUCAUUUUACAGCCUUAGUUGUAACUAACCCAAUAAACGGUCUUACAACUAGCUUGAUACGUGGUUAAAAUAAAGGUUAUGGUCUCAUUGCAAUAUUGAAAAUGUUUCGGCUCCUUGUAUUUUCAUUGGUUCGUCAUUGUUUAGACAUAACCAACUGCAGGCAGUUUCUAUAAUUGAUGGAAAAGCGAGUAACAAAAGUUAAGUGCAAUGAAGCCAUUUCUCUACAACAAUGAAUACAUCUACAAAGAAAUAAAGAUGAGAGGUCAACGUACAAGUUACUUACAAUAAAUGUGAAGUUAUGCUUGGCUUAAUUCUUUCAUCUAUGAUCACAUGAUUCUCAGUAGAAACAAUCCUUCACUCAGCCCAGACGAUUAAUAACAGAGAAAAAAAAAGUAGUUGAGAUAAUAAAUAGACAGUAGCAACUAGCAAGAAG
Molecule: long non-coding RNA, 1842 nt
Filed under: Nicotiana tabacum (common tobacco)
Lineage: Eukaryota; Viridiplantae; Streptophyta; Magnoliopsida; Solanales; Solanaceae
Description: long non-coding RNA (NTAB_LNC015451)
Source: RNAcentral